UUACUCAUUUUAGCAGCACAUAUACAAAAAUUGGAAUGAUACAGAGAAGAUUAGCAUGACCCCUGCACAAGGAUCACACGCACAUUCAUGAAGCAUUCCAUAUUUAA
Molecule: small nuclear RNA, 107 nt
Filed under: Salvator merianae (Argentine black and white tegu)
Lineage: Eukaryota; Metazoa; Chordata; Lepidosauria; Squamata; Teiidae
Source: RNAcentral